Schistosoma curassoni is the source of this 45-nucleotide non-coding RNA. NCBI's taxonomy places the organism in Eukaryota, Metazoa, Platyhelminthes, Trematoda, Strigeidida, Schistosomatidae. The record is from Rfam.
AUUCAGCUGACAAGUCCCAAGUAGAACGAAACAUGCGUCCUGGAU